GAUGAACGCUGGCGGCGUGCCUAAUACAUGCAAGUCGAGCGAACGGACGAGAAGCUUGCUUCUCUGAUGUUAGCGGCGGACGGGUGAGUAACACGUGGAUAACCUACCUAUAAGACUGGGAUAACUUCGGGAAACCGUAGCUAAUACCGGAUGAUAUUUUGAACCGCAUGGUUCAAAAGUGAAAGACGGUCUUUCUGUCACUUAUAGAUGGUUCCGCGCUGCAUUAGCUAGUUGGUAAGGUAACGGCUUACCAAGGCAACGAUGCAUAGCCGACCUGAGAGGGUGAUCGGCCACACUGGAACUGAGACACGGUAAAGAGUCCUACGGGAGGAAGCAGUAGGGAAUGUUCCGCAAUGGGCGAAAGCAUGACGGAGCAACGCCGCGUGAGUGAUGAAGGUCUUCGGAUCGUAAAACUCUGUUAGUAGGGAAGAACAUAUGUGUAAGUAACUGUGCACAUCUUGACGGUACCUAAUCAGAAAGCAACGGCUAACUACGUG
This 497-nucleotide ribosomal RNA is filed under the name uncultured bacterium. RNAcentral describes it as "partial 16S ribosomal RNA". It matches the Rfam family "Bacterial small subunit ribosomal RNA", at positions 28 to 507 of the family's 1533-position model. The record is from RNAcentral.